Molecule: long non-coding RNA, 1336 nt
Filed under: Chloebia gouldiae (Gouldian finch)
Lineage: Eukaryota; Metazoa; Chordata; Aves; Passeriformes; Passeridae
Description: Erythrura gouldiae (Gouldian finch) lncRNA (ENSEGOG00005018530.1)
Source: RNAcentral
AGGACGUCACGCUGCGCAAGCUGGACAUCAAGGUGGAGACGGUCAACCGGGAGCCGCUGACGCUGCACGCGGACAGGGAGGAGGACACGGCCAGCGUGUCCACGGCCACGCGCGUCAUGAAGGCCAUCUACUCGUCGUUCAAGGACGACGUGGACCUGAAGCAGGACCUGCGCUGCGACACCAUCGACACCCGCGAGGAGUACGAGCUCAAGGACCCCACCAACGGCUACUACAACGUCCGCGCCCACGAGGACCGGCCGGCCUCGCGCUCCGUCCUCUACGGCGACUACCGGGCGCCGGGCCCCGGCCGCUUCGAGGCGCGGCCGCCCUCGCGGCUCUCGCACUCCAGCGGCUACGCCCAGCUCAGCUCCUACCCCCGCGGCGGCCCCGAGUUCCCCCCGGAGGCCGCGGCCGCGCCGGGGACGGCGGCGGGGGACACGGCCAGCCAGCUGUCCUACGAGAACUACGCGGGCGGCGGCGGCGGCGCCUUCCCGGGCGGCGCCGCGUUCCCGCCGUACCGGCUGGGCUUCGCCGCGGCGGCGGCGGGGCUGGAGCGCGGCGCCUACGAGGCCUACGAGGCCGUGGGGAAGUUCGGCGGCGCGGCGCGGUUCUCGUACACCUCGCAGCACUCGGACUACGGGCAGCGCUUCCAGCAGCGCAUGCAGACGCACGUUUAGGGCGGGGAGGGCUCCGCGGGUACCUCACGAGCGUCCCCUGAUAUUCAGGGGUUCGCCCCGAUCCCCCUCCCCGGAACCCCCCCCCCGACCUCUCCUCGGAGCUUCCGUUCGUUCCGUUGGUUCUCUCGCCGGUACGGUCCCGUCCCCGCCGGCGGAGCGGAGGGGUCGGCGCCGCUUUCGGCGUCUCCUCCGCGUCGCCCGCCGGGGUUUGCGCCCCCGUCGUCGUUCCCGGAGCUUUCCCAGGGAGCAGCUCUGCGUGUUCCCAAAUGCUGAGGGGCGCACAAACCCCAAAACAGCCCCAUCCCGAACCAUUCCCAUUCCUCAAACCAUUCCCAUUGGGAUCNNNNNNNNNNCUGGGAAUUUGGGAAUUCGGGAAUUCGGGGUUUUCGGGAGCCGCCCCGUACGCACAGCGCUCCCGGGAAAGGCGGCGCCGGGUCCCGGGGUGCCCCCAGAGCUGGGAUCAGGGCUCCCUCCUGAAUGUAAAUCCAGCGCGUUCCCGGGAAUUCUGGGAAUUCCGGGCGUGGGAGCGACCCAAACAUUGGGAUCGGGAGCUCGGCCCUGCCCCCAGUCCCAGUUCCGGGCACUGGGGGGAACUGGGGGCCCCAGUUUGGGGUGGGGGAAUUUGGGGGAUGAGUUUUGGAGGGAAUUCCCAGCCCCAA